Molecule: long non-coding RNA, 923 nt
Filed under: Hordeum vulgare
Lineage: Eukaryota; Viridiplantae; Streptophyta; Magnoliopsida; Poales; Poaceae
Description: long non-coding RNA (HVUL_LNC000759)
Source: RNAcentral
UUUCAUAACAGGAUUCAGCAAAGCUGCGUUGAUUUCAUACGAUUCCGCACUAGUGACGGAAGCAAUCGGAGUACUAAUAAAAUUAUUAUUAUUAGUGCUCGAGAAGUCACAAAGUUUGGUGUUUUCAGCCAUGAUAACUUCAACAAACCAACAAGCACACAAGCAAGCAAGAGAACCGGCAAAAGAAAACGACAAAGACAAAAGAAAACGACGAAGGAGAAAGGCAAAUGAAAACGACAAAUGUGAAGUGGGGGAGAGGAAAACAAGAGGCAACUGGCAACAAAAGUAAAUGCAAGAGAAGAGUUUGUGAGAACUACUUGGAUAGAUCUUAAUUUCUCCUCUCCGACAACGGCGCCAGAAAUGCUUCUGAUGUCAGCUAUGCUAAUGCACAAAAGUCCUUCCAAUGGCGCCAGAAACAGGUGUGUCGACGGCACCAGGAAUCCUGCAGCUACGGCUACGUCUUAAGGGACUUUCUAGACAAGUAUGCAACGGAUAUCCUCCGUGGCCUUGGAGCCUUGCAUUGGUGUUCCCUUGAAACGGAAAGGGUGAUGUAGCACAGCGACGGUAAGUAUUUCCUCAGUUUAAAAACCAAGGUAUCAAUUCGGUGAAGGAGUAUCACAAGAUCCUGCACAAACAUAAAAGCUUGCUCCCAACGCUGUGAAGGGGUUGUCAAUCCCUUAUAGAUUGUUUUCCAAGUGAGAACUGAAAGAAACAAAAUAACAAAGCAAAGUAAAAAAACGAAGGUGUAAACGAUGGACGUGAAUAGACCCGGGGGCCGUAGUGUUUACUAGUGGCUUCUCUCAUGAAAGCAAGUAGACGGUGGGUGAACAAAUUACUCUCGAGCAAUUGAUAGAACCGCGCAAAGUCGUGACGAUAUAUGCAAUGAUUAUACCUAUAGGCAUCAUGUCCAACACAAGUAGAUC